UGGGGAAUAUUGGGCAAUGGGCGCAAGCCUGACCCAGCCAUGCCGCGUGAGUGACGAAGGCCUUAGGGUUGUAAAGCUCUUUUGGCGGGGACGAUAAUGACGGUACCCGCAGAAUAAGCCCCGGCUAACUUCGUGCCAGCAGCCGCGGUAAUACGAAGGGGGCUAGCGUUGUUCGGAAUCACUGGGCGUAAAGCGCACGUAGGCGGACUUUCAAGUCAGGGGUGAAAUCCCGGGGGUCAACCUCGGAACUGCCUUUGAUACUGUUGGUCUCGAGUCCGGAAGAGGUGGGUGGAAUUCCUAGUGUAGAGGUGAAAUUCGUAGAUAUUAGGAAGAACACCGGUGGCGAAGGCGGCCCACUGGUCCGGUACUGACGCUGAGGUGCGAAAGCGUGGGGAGCAAACA
This 402-nucleotide ribosomal RNA is filed under the name uncultured bacterium. RNAcentral describes it as "bacterial SSU rRNA". It matches the Rfam family "Bacterial small subunit ribosomal RNA", at positions 355 to 774 of the family's 1533-position model. The record is from RNAcentral.